Molecule: ribosomal RNA, 508 nt
Filed under: uncultured bacterium
Lineage: Bacteria
Description: partial 16S ribosomal RNA
Rfam family: Bacterial small subunit ribosomal RNA
Source: RNAcentral
AUUGAACGCUGGCGGCAUGCCUUACACAUGCAAGCCGAACGGCAGCGGGGGAGAAGCUUGCUUUUCCUGCCGGCGAGUGGCGAACGGGUGAGUAAUACAUCGGAACGUGCCCUGUAGUGGGGGAUAACUAGUCGAAAGAUUAGCUAAUACCGCAUACGACCUGAGGGUGAAAGUGGGGGACCGCAAGGCCUCAUGCUAUAGGAGCGGCCGAUGUCUGAUUAGCUAGUUGGUGGGGUAAAGGCCUACCAAGGCGACGAUCAGUAGCUGGUCUGAGAGGACGAACAGCCACACUGGGACUGAGACACGGCCCAGACUCCUACGGGAGGCAGCAGUGGGGAAUUUUGGACAAUGGGCGAAAGCCUGAUCCAGCAAUGCCGCGUGUGUGAAGAAGGCCUUCGGGUUGUAAAGCACUUUUGUCCGGAAAGAAAUGGCUCUGGUUAAUACCUGGGGUCGAUGACGGUACCGGAAGAAUAAGGACCGGCUAACUACGUGCCAGCCGCCGCCGUAA